UCACUGCACCUGGAUGCUCACGACUUUGCCCCCGGACGGCGACACCUUGGGGAUGCUGAGGUAGAGCACGCCGUCCCUCACCACCGCGGCGAUCCUCUCCACCUCCACGUUCUCCGGCAGCUCCACCCGCGUCCUGUACCGCCCGUAGCUCGCCGCCGGCCACGCCUCCUCCUCCUCCCCAUCCUCCUCGUUAUCCUUAUCCUUCUCUCCGACCGCCUCCCUUUGCUUCGCCGCCUUCUCGGCGACCACCACCAGCGUCCGGUCCUGCACACUCACGCGCACGUCCUCCCUCGUCAUGCCCGGCAUGUCGAACCGCACCAGGUAGUCCCCCGCGCGCUCCUUGAUCUCCCACGGCGUCCGCCCGCGUCGGUCGUCCGCGCGCCGUGCCGCCGUGGGCGGCACCGUCGCGCCAGGCACCACGAAGGGGCGACGGCCGUCGUCGUCGUCGGCCUCGUCCAUGAUGCGCUCCAUGGUGCGCAUCAU
RNAcentral lists this ribosomal RNA (483 nucleotides) under Triticum aestivum (bread wheat). RNAcentral describes it as "partial small subunit ribosomal RNA". Lineage: Eukaryota; Viridiplantae; Streptophyta; Magnoliopsida; Poales; Poaceae. The record is from RNAcentral.